AUGGCUGGUUUUGUUUCUCAUCUAACAAAUGAUCCACCUAGUUCAAAUGAUGAUGCAGCAAGGAAGUCUUGGCAAAAGAUCGAUGAUUGUGUGAUGGGAGUUUUAAUUCUGGGUGUUGAACCCUCACUCAGAAUGAGUCUUGAGCAUCACAUUUCAGCUAAAGAGAUAUGGAAGUACUUUGAGCAGCGCUACCUUCAGCCCAACAACACACUUCAUUUCUCCUUGUUUCAGAAUUUACACAACACUCGGCAGCCAGAAGACAUGUCCAUAGAAGAGUACUAUGGAGCUUUCACUCGCAUCACUGGGCAGCUUGGUUCCAUGGUUCCAAAGGGUAAUUCUGGUUGUGAGUCAUGUGUAGCAAAGGAAAAGUAUGACCAUCAAACUCUCAUGUUUCAGUUUGUGAUGGGUCUCAAGCCAGACUUUGAGAACAUUCGCACUCAAUUGCUUGGUCGUACGACUCCUCCCACCUUAACAGAGGCACUUGCUAGCUUGAUCGCUAAGGAGACUCGUCUCCGUUCUCUUGGGGCUACUUCUGCGCAGACUCUACACACUAGUGUUUUGGCUUUUCCUCAGCGGCCAGGUGCCUCCAAGGCCACACCUUCAACUGUCGUCUGCUCGUUCUGCAAGAAGGCAGGACACCACAGAGAUGGUUGUUUCAAGCUUCAUCCAGAGCUGUUGUUAUGA
This 684-nucleotide ribosomal RNA is filed under the name Triticum aestivum (bread wheat). RNAcentral's name for it is "partial small subunit ribosomal RNA". Lineage: Eukaryota; Viridiplantae; Streptophyta; Magnoliopsida; Poales; Poaceae. The record is from RNAcentral.